Long non-coding RNA from Schistocerca cancellata (South American locust), 4052 nucleotides. RefSeq lists it as uncharacterized. The record is from RefSeq and is a predicted model, not a curated record. The transcript has 2 exons. NCBI's taxonomy places the organism in Eukaryota, Metazoa, Arthropoda, Insecta, Orthoptera, Acrididae.
AUUUCAACAGACAAAGCACAGUUCACUACAGACUAAACAGUUGCUGGUGGCUGAUGGAAACACUAAUGACUCACUUCUAGUGUGUUUCCUUAUGUUCGAGGUCAUCAAACUAGAAACUUAAAAUUAAACUAUAGAAGCUCUUAAACUAUGUAGCUCCAUCCCGUCUGUACGUAUUUAAUACUAUCUGAUCGAAUGUAUCCGGAGAGAGUUAUGUAACGCGAAAUACACAACUAGAUGCAACGCGAGGCCGACCAGCAAGUAGAAUGUCCAGUCACAUUAAGGUUACCACCUGUCAAAAGUCUCAAUUACCAACUUUUGCAGUGCGUACCGCAGCGAGGCGAGCAGGAAGAGAGUAGGUGACGUUCUGGAAGGUACUGACAAGGAUGUGGAGAUAUGCUGUCUCCAGUGCCGUCGCCAUUUGCUCUAGGUUCUUCGGUUGAGGAUGCAAGGCACGAACAGCCCGGUCGAUGUGGUCCUACAGAUUAUAGACUGGGUUUAAAUCUGGGCAGUUUGUUGGUGAGGGAAUAUGGUAAACUGAUCCUGUUGCUCUUGGAACCACACACGUACACUGCGAGCUGUCCUGUUGGUGAAUGCCAACAUACCGAGGAAAAACAAACUGGAGGUGGACAUGGUUCAUAAGGAUAGAUCCAUCGUGCCUCCCAGAACGACGAAAUCAUCCAGUGAGAGCCCUCUGUUCUGGAAGCUUGCGAAGAUUGUUGCAGGAUGUUCACUUUCAGGCAUUUCACGCUGUACACGACAGUGGUCAUCUGAAUGGUGCAGCACAAAACGUUCUUCAUCUGGAAAGUUCGCCUUUCGACACUCAGUGGACGUCAAGUUGCGAUACUGGUGUUCAAAUUCAAGUCUUUGCCGCCGAUUAACAGCAGUCAGCUUGGGUGCAUGAGCCAGGCGCUUGCUGCCGAGGUACACAAGUAGCAAUGUUCACUGAUAGGUCGUUGAGGAGGCACUGUUGGUAGUCUCUUGGUUCAUCCAGAUGGUCAGUUACUCAUCAAUCGCUCGUCUUCUCGCCCGUACACAUUGCCGCAGCCAUCGUUCGUCCUUGACAUCUACGGCCUGUUGCGCACCAGAGUUGCCCCAGUACAAGUUUCGGAGAGCAUUGUGUAGAGUGGUUGUAAAAAGUCGUAUGAAACCAGCGAAACGAACCACUCGUGAGUUAAAAAGUGCUACCAGCAGUUCAGCUAGACAAAUGGCUGUCCGUAGAGAGUUAAAAAGAAAUGGGUACAAUGGCCGAUCGUAAGCCAUACAUUUCUGUAGUCAGUGCUAAACGACCCUUCAGGGCCGGGGGAGCGGUGUGCUGGCUAAAACCCUCUUCGUAUCUGCAUCCAGUAGUAUCAAUGGGUUGAGGAUGACACAAUUGUCGGUCGGUACCUCUGGGCCUUCAAGUCUUGCAAGUCUUGGUGUAUGUUCUAUACCAUGAGGUCUUUUAUUUAAUGUAGUACUCCUUUGGGAGUUACUAACAGUCGAACACUAAGGAGAAAUGCCCAGCUACCAAGCAUCCUAAAUAAAGGUUACAAUAGAGAAAACUAAUAAUCAUAUUAACAGAAUCACUCAUCCAGCAUAUUUUCACCUAUGUGAAUGUUAAGUGCGCCGCCACUGUUCCAAAUUUUAAGCACUCCGUCCAAAUCCUAUGACCACACGCACUCCAGCUCACCCCCGUAUCAAUUACUUUCUCUCACACGUGUACUGUACGAAUUCUUAACGUUCCCAAACCCCCUCAUACACCUAUUAUAUCUUCACUUGUCCUGUAUUUUGUGUGCCGACCGGAGUGGCCGUGCGGUUCUAGGUGCUAUAGUCUGGAACCGCGAGACCGCUGCGAUCGCAGGUUCGAAUUCUGCCUCGGGCAUGGAUGCGUGUGGUGUCCUUAGGUUUGUUAGGUUUAAUUAGUUCUAAGUUCUUGGGGACUGAUGACCGCAGAAGUUAAGUCCCAUAGUGCUCAGAGCCAUUUGAACCAUUUAUUUUGUGGAACUCUGACCCUUGAAAGAAAGUGUAUAAUCAGCUUUCUUUGGAUAACCAUUCCCCUUUAUAUUGUGUCUCUCAAAAGCAUAAUAUAUUUUACUGCCUUGAAAACUUCAUGACACUUUGUAUUCGGGCGCUGUAUGUUUCAGCAUCCAAAAGUUCUUUUUCUUUGCCUUUAGUCGUCAUCAGUUUUUAUCGACUUUAUGGAGGCUUCUCAUUAGCACUGUUGCAUAUAAGCUGUUUUUCUAGAGGAUAGUGGUACAGGCACAUCGUUUGAACAUCCAGCGGAAUUUGUACUCUGGGAAAACUUCUCUAGGAAGAAAGGCUUCAACAAGCGUAUACAGAGAACUGUCCCGUCCAUAAGGUGUUUGCAGUUAUAGAGGAAAUUAGAAAAAAUGCCCGCAGCCUUCAAAUACUUUAAAAGUGUCGAAGUGGGGGAAAAAACAAGAGCUAGGCUAAGGAGAUUACAAGAAAGAAUAAAUAUAGGAUUUGUCUCAAGGUAAGUAGAAGAAAGGGCUGUAUCCAUGUAUGGCAACAUGCAGUGCGCAUUUCGCUUGCCGUCCAAAUGACAGAUUCCUGUAUCCUUGUUGGUCUAGAGCCCUUUAUUUUCGGUAUUCAGUCCAGCACUCUAAGUAGUAUAACAUAUAAUGAAAUGGGUCAAGAAAGUUGAAUUCAUAAAAUUCACGUGUUCUCAUUUCUUUUCCUUUUAUUCGUACAAUAAGCUUUCUUCCUCCCCUCCUCCUUGCGCGUGUUUGUAUGAGAAUGCGUAACUGGGAGAUUACGAGUUAUCUGAAGUUCGCCCCAAUGAGGUUCAAAUGGCUCUGAGCACUAUGGGACUCAACAUAUGAGGUCAUCAGUCCUCUAUAACUUAGAACUACUCAAACCUAACCAACCUAAGGACAUCACACAACACCCAGUCAUCACGAGGCAGAGAAAAUCCCUGACCCCGCCGGGAAUCGAACCCGGGAACCCGGGCGUGGGAAGCGAGAACGCUACCGCACGACCACGCGCCCCAAUGAGAUCAGAGGUCUUCGUAGAGUCGUAGGUUGUGCUGCCAACCAAACCUUUAGACUGCUUGAGGUUUUUGCAUUUUAUUUCGUGAGAUUGUAUACCGCAGGAAUGGUUUUAUUUACGAUUGUGUUUGAUAAAGCCGUGUUGUGAUCAAUAGACUGUUGUGAAUAAUAUCAACCAGCAUUUCACUUCCGUUGCCCCUUCCAUUCACCUUGAGAGCCAUGAAAAGAGAACAAUUUUAUGAUGGGCGUAUCGACUACAUCGAGUAUUAAAGGAAACUUUGAUUUUGUGUGAAUUAAAAUCGCUGAUUGAACAGCCCGCGACGUUAUUUUCGGCUACUACCAGUAGACCCAUUGUGUAUUCAGUCGGUUCCUGUUGUCACUAUCUGUUGUAGAUCAGACAUAGAUUUCAUAAUAAUCAGUUUAUUCGGCCUUCCUCAGAAGGACAUCGAUCACCUGUGAAUCAAUGCCAAGACAAAUAACUGCUUCCACAAGGGCCAGAGGUAGACUAUCGCGUUGUUGACUUGCUGAUUUUGUGAAGCUCUUUCUCUUGCAUAAAAAAUCCAUUUUUUGAUUGUAGUCAUUUCCCUGUCUGUAAAUGUACAUCAGAUCUACCGAUUUCCGACCCAUUCGGAUAAUUCCUUACUGAUGCGAAGCUUUUUUUUUUUUUCUUUUUCUUUCCCACGUAAUGUGCACAUAGAUUGGGCGCAGCUGCUCGGCCAUUGUACCCAUGUUUUUUAACUCCCUUCGAACAGUCAUUGAACUCCUGGUGGCACUCUGGAGCUCACGAGAGAUUUCUUUCGAUGAUUUCAUGUGAAUAUUUACAAUCAUCCUGCGCAAUACUCGAAUGGUCCCUAUCUGUGAUUGUAUGAGCACUUCCUCGGCUUGGUUAACUGAGGUUGUUCCACCGUCAACUUCAGUGGUUUUAAGUGUUCUUGAUGAAUUUGUUACCCACUUGGAAUCGACUGACUAGUCCACGUUCGAAAUCACUGAGCUCGCCCGACCGACCCAUCCAGCUGUUACUGUUCCCUGUUGAAAACACAAUACCCUCCGGCUUCCUUUGCACUA